RNAcentral lists this transfer RNA (106 nucleotides) under Fusarium acuminatum. RNAcentral describes it as "tRNA-Trp". It matches the Rfam family "tRNA". From Rfam's summary of the family: Transfer RNA (tRNA) molecules are approximately 80 nucleotides in length. Their secondary structure includes four short double-helical elements and three loops (D, anti-codon, and T loops). Further hydrogen bonds mediate the characteristic L-shaped molecular structure. tRNAs have two regions of fundamental functional importance: the anti-codon, which is responsible for specific mRNA codon recognition, and the 3' end, to which the tRNAs corresponding amino acid is attached (by aminoacyl-tRNA synthetases). tRNAs cope with the degeneracy of the genetic code in two manners: having more than one tRNA (with a specific anti-codon) for a particular amino acid; and 'wobble' base-pairing, i.e. permitting non-standard base-pairing at the 3rd anti-codon position. Lineage: Eukaryota; Fungi; Ascomycota; Sordariomycetes; Hypocreales; Nectriaceae. RNAcentral also lists the same sequence under 2 other names. The record is from RNAcentral.
GGGGAGCUGGCGCAACGGUAGCGCGUCAGAUUCCAGUGAUCUGCUGAUCUCAGCAGAAUUCCUCGGUGAUUCCUGAAGGCUAUCGGUUCAAAUCCGGUGUUCCUCA